UACGGGAGGCAGCAGUGGGGAAUAUUGCACAAUGGGCGCAAGCCUGAUGCAGCCAUGCCGCGUGUAUGAAGAAGGCCUUCGGGUUGUAAAGUACUUUCAGUCGUGAGGAAGGUGUUAAGGUUAAUAACCUUAGCAAUUGACGUUAGCGACAGAAGAAGCACCGGCUAACUCCGUGCCAGCAACCGCGGUAAUACGGAGGGUGCGAGCGUUAAUCGGAAUUACUGGGCGUAAAGGGCACGCAGGCGGUUAAUUAAGUUGGAUGUGAAAUCCCCGGGCUUAACCUGGGAAUGGCAUUCAAGACUGGUUAGCUAGAGUCUUGUAGAGGGGGUUAGAAUUCCAUGUGUAGCGGUGAAAUGCGUAGAGAUGUGGAGGAAUACCGGUGGCGAAGGCGGCCCCUGGACAAAGACUGACGCUCAUGUGCGAAAGCGUGGGGAGCAAACAGGGAUUAGAUACCCGU
Molecule: ribosomal RNA, 457 nt
Filed under: uncultured bacterium
Lineage: Bacteria
Description: bacterial SSU rRNA
Rfam family: Bacterial small subunit ribosomal RNA
Source: RNAcentral